UCCUAGCCCCGAUUGAAGCAAUUGUUUGAGCUCUUUUUUGUUUUUUUUAAACAAAAAAAGCGAGUGCGGAAAGCGGGAAAUAGC
Molecule: small RNA, 84 nt
Rfam family: Flavo-1 RNA